Molecule: long non-coding RNA, 1889 nt
Organism: Serinus canaria (Common canary)
Lineage: Eukaryota; Metazoa; Chordata; Aves; Passeriformes; Fringillidae
Source: Ensembl
GAAUUUAAGGGAAAACCUGGGAAUUUGGGAACCCCCGCAGGGAUUUUUUUCACUUUUUCGGUACCUCCGUGGCCGCUUUUCCCGAAAAAACGGCCUCGAAGAGGGAAUUCUGCUCCAGGGAAUUCCGCUCCGGCUCGGCCCCAUCCCCGCGGGAGAGGCGGGAGCGCUUCGGGGCCUGAGGGGAAAACGGGGGAAAAGCGGGGAAAAUCGGGAAAAAUCAACAAAAACCGGGGGAAACGGGUGGAAAUCCCCCGGAAAAAAGGGAAUUUUGGGACUCACGGGGCUCCUGGCGGCUCCUCGGGGCCGGCCCCGCUUGCUCCGAGGGCGCAGAGAGGCCUCGAAGUCGCUGCCGGAGUCGGAAUCCUCCGGGAAUUCCCUGAGGGGAUUUGGGGGGNUGGGAGAGGCUGGGAGGGGCUGUAGGUGUUUGGGGGAUGGGGGUUCCCCGGUAGAUUAGUGGUCUCCUUUGGACUGGGGGUCUCUAAAGACCCCAAAAUUUGGGAAUUCUAUCGGGAAUUUGGGUUUUGGGGGGAGUCUAGAGGGGGCUGGAUCCCAUUUCCGAUCCCACUCCUGGCCCCAAAUCCCAUUCCCGCCCCAUUCCCAUCCCAAAUCCCGUUCGCAGCCCUGAUCCUAUUCCCGAUCCCAUUCCUGCCCCAUUCCUAUCCCAAGUCCCAUUCCCGAUCCCAUUUCCCUCCCAUUCUCGACUGCAAAUCCCAUUCCCAGCCCUGAUCCCAUUCCCGCCCCAUUUCGGUCCCAAAUCUCGAAAUCCCAUUCUCGAUCCCAUUCCCAUUCCUUAUCCCCCCAUCCCAAAUCCCAUUCCCAUCCCAAAUCCCGAUCCCAAACCCCGCUCCGCCCUCCGGGACCGCCCCGAUCCCAAAUCCCGAUUCCAAAACCUAUUCCCGAUCCCAGAUCCCAAAUCCCGAUCCCAGAUCCCAAAUCCCGAUCCCAAAUCCCGCUCCCCGCUCCGCCCGCCGGGGCCGUCCCGAUCCCAAAUCCCAUUCCCGAUCCCAAAUCCCAUUCCCGAUCCCGCUCCCCGCUCCGCCCGCCGGGGCCGUCCCGGGGCGGGGCCGGAGACAAAAGGGGAAAAGUUUGCGGGGCAGGGAAGAGAAGGAUCGGGAACUUUGGGAUCGCCGGGAAUCUCUGGGAUCGCCCGGCGGGGAUUUGGGAUCGCCCGGCGGGUUUGGGAUCGCCGGGAAUCUCUGGGAUCGCCGGGAGCCGAUCCCGGGAUGUGGCGGAGCUGAGCGAGGCCGCGGUGAGAGAGAAAUGGGGGAAAAAAUGGGAAAAAAAGGGAUUUGGGAUCGUGGGGAAACAGGGAUUGGGAUCGUGGGGAAACAGGGAUUUGGGAUCGUGGGGAAAAGGGAUUUGGGAUUGGGGAGAAGAGAUUUAGGGUUGGGGAAAGGGAUUUGGGAUCGGGGGAAGGGAUUUGGGAACGGGGAAUAGGGAAAAGAGGGAUUUGGGAUCGGGAGGAACCGGGAAUUGGGAUAGAAAACUGGGAAUUGGGGGCACCAGGAGUGGGAUUGGGAUCAGGGAGGGACAGCGGGAUUUGGGAUUUGGGACUGGGAGGACAACUGGGGAUUGGGAUGGGAGUUUGGGAGGGGCCAAAGGGAUUUGGGGGGAGCUGGGAUUUGGGAUUUGGGUGGAAAAGCCAAAAGCGGGAAUUGGGGGGAGGGGGGAAAGGGGGAAAACCGGGAAUGGGGGACACUGGGAAUGGGAUUUGGGACCCAGAACUGGGACAGGCGUUGGGAUUUGGGGACCUGGGACUGGGAUUUGAGGUCCCAAAUUGGGAUUUGGGGACCUGGGACUGGGAUUUGGGAUCUGGGACUGGAAUUUGGCGACACCGGGACUUGUCCCGUUCCCCCCCCCACCAUGUCUGGUUUUGGGGUGACCCCUGU